GAUCCGAAGGUGGGGAUCUUCGGACCUGCCACUUAAGGAUGAGCCCGCGUCCUAUCAGCUUGUUGGUGAGGUAACGGCUCGCCAAGGCUACGACGGGUAGCUGGUUUGAGAGAAUGGUCAGCCACACUGGGACUGAGACACUGCCCAGACUCCUACGGGAGGCUGCAGUCGAGGAUCUUGGACAAUGUGCGAAAGCAUGAUCCAGCGACGCCGCGUGUAGGAUGAAGGCCUUCGGGUUGUAAACUACUGUCAUAAGGGAGAAAAGUUUUGGAAUUAAUACUUCCAAAAUCUGAUAGUACCUUAAGAGGAAGCCACGGCUAACUCUGUGCCAGCAGCCGCGGUAAUACAGAGGUGGCAAGCGUUGUUCGGAUUUACUGGGCGUAAAGGGUACGUAGGCGGUAUCGUGUGUCGGAUGUGAAAUCUCACGGCUCAACCGUGAAAUGGCAUUCGAAACUGCGGAACUAGAGUACUGGAGAGGAGAGCGGAAUUCUUGGUGUAGCGGUGAAAUGCGUGGAUAUCAAGAAGAACGCCGACAGCGAAGGCAGCUCUCUGGACAGAUACUGACGCUGAUGUACGAAAGCUGGGGUAGCGAAGAGGAUUAGAUACCCUCGUAGUCCCAGCCGUAAACGUUGUGCACUUGGUGUGGGAGGUGUUAUCCCCUUCCGUGCCGGAGCUAACGCGUUAAGUGCACCGCCUGGGGAGUACGGCCGCAAGGCUAAAACUCAAAGGAAUUGACGGGGGCCCGCACAAGCGGUGGAGCAUGUGGCUUAAUUCGAUGCAACGCGAAGAACCUUACCAGGGCUUGACAUGGGAAGACUUCGGUCUAAACCAGUGAAGGUUGGUUGUAUCCACACAGGUGCUGCAUGGCUGUCGUCAGCUCGUGCCGUGAGGUGUUGGGUUAAGUCCCGCAACGAGUGCAACCCCUGUCGUUAGUUGCCACCUGAGGAGAAAUCCUCAGAGCACUCUAACGAGACUGCCCGUGAUAAGCGGGAGGAAGGUGGGGAUGACGUCAAGUCAGUAUGGUCCUUAUGCCCUGGGCUGCACACGUGCUACAAUGGAUGGUACAGAAGGAUGCGAGACCGCGAGGUGGAGCCAAUCCCCAAAGCCAUCCUCAGUUCGGAUUGUAGUCUGCAACUCGACUACAUGAAGCUGGAAUCGCUAGUAAAGGCGUAUCAGCUACGACGCCUUGAAUACGUUCCCGGGCCUUGUACACACCGCCCGUCACAUCAUGAGAGCCGAUUGCACCCGAAGUCGCCGGGCCAACCUUAACGGAGGCAGGCGCCGAAGGUGUGAUUGGUGAUUGGGAUGAAGUCGUAACAAGGUA
RNAcentral lists this ribosomal RNA (1324 nucleotides) under metagenome. RNAcentral describes it as "bacterial SSU rRNA". It matches the Rfam family "Bacterial small subunit ribosomal RNA", at positions 198 to 1498 of the family's 1533-position model. The record is from RNAcentral.